This 413-nucleotide ribosomal RNA is filed under the name uncultured microorganism. RNAcentral describes it as "bacterial SSU rRNA". It matches the Rfam family "Bacterial small subunit ribosomal RNA", at positions 9 to 416 of the family's 1533-position model. The record is from RNAcentral.
GAGUUUGAUCGUGGCUCAGAUUGAACGCUGGCGGCAGGCCUAACACAUGCAAGUCGAACGGUAACAGGAAGCAGCUUGCUGCUUCGCUGACGAGUGGCGGACGGGUGAGUAAUGUCUGGGAAGCUGCCUGAUGGAGGGGGAUAACUACUGGAAACGGUAGCUAAUACCGCAUAAUGUCGCAAGACCAAAGAGGGGGACCUUCGGGCCUCUUGCCAUCGGAUGUGCCCAGAUGGGAUUAGCUUGUUGGUGGGGUAACGGCGUCACCAAGGCGACGAUCCCUAGCUGGUCUGAGAGGAUGACCAGCCACACUGGAACUGAGACACGGGUCCAGACUCCUACGGGAGGCAGCAGUGGGGAAUAUUGCACAAUGGGCGCAAGCCUGAUGCAGCCAUGCCGCGUGUAUGAAGAAGGCC